UUACAGGCACCACAGGAGAAGGGGGACUUGAAAACACAUUACUGGAAGAUGAGAUGACCUCAGGGGGCUUCUUCCAUGCAGAAGAGGAUGCCAGGGAGCAACUUACGGGAGGGAAAGGAGAGAAUGAGGCUUCAGGAUCCCUGCUGUUUCAAAUACUUCCAUGAUGGCUGCCAACAGGAGGGGAAAGACAAGAGGGAAGAAUCUCGUAAAAUCCCGUGACUCAGGAAGCUCGGGUUCCAGAUAAAACCUUGUUACUCAUGAAGAACCUGUGAACAUUGGAAGGGACUGAACCAAUCCCACAGCACAGAAGUGAAAGAGGUGCUUACCCACAGCAGCAAAGGGGAAGUUGGACAACAGUGAAAAGCCAUCAUUUAUACAAUCCAACCCAGAAAGAGAAAUGAAAGAGACAGCAGAAGACC
Molecule: long non-coding RNA, 419 nt
Organism: Pezoporus flaviventris
Lineage: Eukaryota; Metazoa; Chordata; Aves; Psittaciformes; Psittacidae
Exons: 3
Source: RefSeq, a predicted model, not a curated record